UUCAAGAUAAUAAAGAGAUUAAUUGAGGAUGACUAGCCAAUGAUUAUAAAGGAGGUAUAAAUACCAAAUAUCCUAGCUAAUAAUUUCAAGCUUAGCUAAAUCUAGGAUUAUCCUAUGGGAAACCAAAAAUUUUUAAAUAAAUAAACAACCUUAUGAACUGAAACAUCUAAGUAAUAAGAGGAAAAAAAAUCAACUGAGAUUCUGCUAGUAGUGGUGAGCGAAAACAGAUAAGCCUGCCGGCAUAAAGCUGGCUAUAAUAUAUAAUUUAAUUAUGAAUAAUUAAUUUCUUCCCUGGUAUCAUAUAGAUGCUUUUGGGAUUAAUGAAAUUUCUGGAAGUGAAAUAUACCAAAGAGGGUGAUAGUCCCGUAAUAAUUAAAUUAUAAUUUGUUCGUUUAUCGUUUACGAUGGAAUUAAGAACAAAUAAUUAUGUUUCCUUGGUUUUAACCGGGAACAUGAUUUAUAAAAAAAAAGUAAGAUGGAAGAUAAUCUGUCUGAAUUAGGGGAACCAUCCUCUAAGGCUAAAUAUGAAUCAUUGAGCGAUAGUGAAUAGUACCGUGAGGGAAACGUUGAAAAGCAAGUAGAUAACUGGUGAAAUAGAUCCUGAAUCAAUAAUCUUAUAAGCAGUCGGAGUAUGAAACAAAUAAAAUAAUAUGACGACGUACCUUUUGCAUCAUGGGUCAGCGAGUUUAUAGGUAGUGCAAGUAAAAAAUUAAAAAUUUAUCUCCUGUAAAGGGGAUGGAAUAAUUAUAAUAAUACUUAGUGAAAGCGAUCAUAUAUUAUUGGCUUGGUUUAGACCGGCCUUUUAUAAUUUAUGAGGAAAGUACUAUAUAUAAGACCCGAAACCAGGUGAUCUUACCAUGGCCAGGUGUAAGACCGAACCAACUACUGUUGCAAUAGUACUGGAUGAGCUGUGGUAGGGAGUGAAAGGCUAAUCUUACCUGGAGAUAGCUGGUAUUCUGCGAAACCUAUUUAGGUAGGAUCUAUAUUUGAAUUAUAGCAAGUAGUGCUCUGCUUUUAGCAAUCCAUUUGUUAUUUAUGACAAAUGGGAUUGCAUUGAAAAAUGCAAUUUAUAUUUAAUGGGGGGAUUAUUAUGAUUCUAUCCACUGAAGGCAAUCAAACCAAUGGUUAUAAAUUCAAGAUAUAGGGUCAGACUAUGGGUGCUAAGGCCGAUAGUCGAAUGGGGAAGAGCCCAGAAUAGUAACUAAGGUCCCUAAAUAAAUACUAAGUGAAUAUAAGGUAGUGUCGUAUAGAAAACAUCCAUUAUGUAGGCUUGGAGGCAGCAAUCAUUUAGAGAAAGCGUAAAUGCUCAAUGGUCUUUUUUAAUAUAUGAUGCACCAAUAAUUUAACGGGUCUAAAGUAUUUUACCGAUGUUCUAUCUGCAAAAUAAUAUUAAUAGUAUACCUCUCUGAUUAUCAGUGUAGGUGGUUCCUAGUGAACCGUUAUAAAAAUUUGCUGGGUAGCAGAACAUACUAUAAAUGGAAUGAAGGGUAAUUUUUAAUUACCUUGACAUAAUAGUAGAGAUUAUGCUGACAUGAGUAACGCAAAAGCAUUAAAAUAUGCUUCACCGAAUGCCUAAGGGUUCCAUAGAAAAAUUAAAUUGCUAUGGGUUAAACGGUCUCUAAGAAUAUAAGCGAAAGCUUUGAUUGAUGAGGAAUUUAUUAUAAAUAUAUUUUAUAGAGAGUAAAUUAAUUAAGGCUCUAAAGAGUCCAAAAGAGUUUAAAGCUCUAGGAAUUGAUUUAUUCUUUUUAUUUAUACAGGAAAAAAUAAUAUAAAAUAUACCGUACUCUAAACCGACACUGGUAGGCAGGUAGAAUAUACUAAGGUGUUGAGAGAACUCUCCUGAAGGAACUAGGCAAAAUAACUCUGUAAUUUCGAAAGAAAGAGUGGCUAUUAAAUAAUAAUAUUAUUUGAUGGCUGGCACAUAAAUGUGAGGUACGACUGUUUACUAAAAACACAGCACUUUGCCAACAUAAUAAUGGAUGUAUAAAGUGUGAUACCUGCUCAAUGCCAAACGUAUAAAUUUUUUGGUUUCACGAUCAAAAAUCAAACAUUGGUCAAUAGCGGCUGUAACUAUGACAGUCCUAAGGUAGCGAAAUACCUAGUCGGAUAAUUGCCGACGUGCAUGAAUGGUUUAACGAUACUUCAACUGUCUCCAGGAGAGACUCAGUGAAAUUGAACUAACCGUGAUGAUGCGGUUUACCUACAGCUAGACACGAAGACCCUAUGAAGCUUUACUGUAGUUAAUUAUUGUUAAUUUUUUAUUAAGAUACAGCAAUAAGGUAGUUGAUUAAACAAAACUGAGAGCCCUUAACUUAAUAUAAAAUUAACUAAGAUAAUAUUCAAUCUUUAUAUUGCCCCUUCCUUGUACCUUUAGGUAAAGGUCUUGAAGGUCUUUGACAUUCAGGAUCUUAUAGGUUGAAAUAUAUAAAGUUUAUUGAAUAUUCUUCCUUGGUUUUACCAAGGACCUGGAAAAUUUUAUAAAAUAAUAUUUUAUAAAGGUUCCCCAAAGGGAAAAUGAUUAAUUGGCAGUUUACCUGGGGCGGGAUUCUCAUAAAUAGUAUCUGAGAAGUACAAAGGUUUGUUUAAAUUGGAUGGAAACCAAUGGGUUUAUGAUAACCUAAUUAAGCGUAAUGGUAUAAACAAGCUUAACUGUAAGACAAAAAAGUCGAACAGACGCGUAAGCGGGUCAUAGUGAUCCGAUAGUUUCAUUAUGGAAUGGCUAUCGCACAACUGAUAAAAGUUACUCUAGGGAUAACAGGCUAGUCACUGACGAGAGUCCAUAUUGACUCAGUGGUCCGGCACCUCGAUGUCGACUCAUCUUUUCCUGGGGGUUGUAGUUGCUCCCAAGGGUUCGACUGUUCGUCGAGUAAAAAGGUACGUGAGUUGGGUUUAAUACGAUGUGAAUCAGUAUUGAUUAUAUCUACUGUAGGAGUUAGAAUAAGAAUAGCAGUUUAUCUUAGUACGCAAGGACCAGAUUAAGUGCACCUAUGGUUUACCAGUUGUAUAACAUUAUAAAUAAAUGAAUGCAUGGCUGGAAAGCUAUGUGCAUAAAUGAUAACUACUGAAAGCAUAUAAGUAGGAAACAGAGCUAUGAAUUAUUCUUUUCCCUACAUCUUUUGGAUGUAAAGGAAUAAAAUUAGCAAUAGACUAUUGCUUUGAUAGGCUACCCAAUUAUUUUGAUUUAUCAAAAUAGGGAGUUAACUAUUUCAUUUUCUUUUAGAGGAUGUUAAAGUUAUCUAUGAGGUGUAAGAAUAGUAAUAUUUUAAGCCAUCUAGUACUAAAUAUUUAUAAUCUUGAAAA
RNAcentral lists this ribosomal RNA (3300 nucleotides) under Podila verticillata. Its description in RNAcentral is "Mortierella verticillata large subunit ribosomal RNA". It matches the Rfam family "Bacterial large subunit ribosomal RNA". Lineage: Eukaryota; Fungi; Mortierellomycota; Mortierellomycetes; Mortierellales; Mortierellaceae. The record is from RNAcentral.